UAGGUACCCCAGAAUCCAAAAGAGGAAAAGAAUCCAGCUCGAAUAGAAGGAGUAUAGAUUUAAAAAUUUGUGAAGGUGCCGUGUCGGUUUGGCGUAGGUGGACACCAAAGCUCAUAAGAACAAGCUGAUUGGUACAAUGUUAGCAAAUAAAAGGUCCUCCAUACAUUGGUGAUGGCACUUCUGUGAGGUAAGAUGAGAGUUCCAUCCAUGAUUAUCAGUAUUGCUGGUGACAGAUAUCAUGUUCAUGUGAGGCAUGCUGUGGGAACUUUGAGUUGAUAAUGGAGGCUGUUCAUUUGAAACCGAAGUUGGUUCCUGCUUGAACUAUCUUAUAGCUUCAAGUACCCAAUUAAUCAAAACUUACCAAU
Molecule: long non-coding RNA, 365 nt
Organism: Telopea speciosissima
Lineage: Eukaryota; Viridiplantae; Streptophyta; Magnoliopsida; Proteales; Proteaceae
Exons: 3
Source: RefSeq, a predicted model, not a curated record